This 256-nucleotide long non-coding RNA is filed under the name Phoenix dactylifera (date palm). Its description in RNAcentral is "long non-coding RNA (PDAC_LNC018105)". The record is from RNAcentral. Lineage: Eukaryota; Viridiplantae; Streptophyta; Magnoliopsida; Arecales; Arecaceae.
CGCAUAUGCCAUUACUGUAUAGUAACUGAAUCUGAAAUAUAUAAUGAUACUGCAGCAGCUCCACCUGUAAUUAUACGGCCAUGUAGUAAAUAGAGGCCAUUCUUCAUCCUUCCCUUCAUCACCACAAGUGCACCCUUUGAGAUCUUCAUAACUCCACCUUCACCCUUAUAACUACAGCCAUUGGAGUCAAGUGUACCCAAGGAAAUUAGGUUCUUUUUAAGCUCUAGAACAUGACAUUAGCCCAAGUUCUCACCAU